AAACCGCCCCCUAAGUAUUGCCCCUUUUGCAGUUUUGGCCCCAGACCAAUUUUAACCAAGUCAAUGCACACGUGGAUGCACAUGUGUAAUUUUUUUUAAUUAAAAAAAUAAGAAAUUUUUUUAAUAAUUAAAAAAAAUCACAUGUGGCAUCCACAUCAGCUUUGACUUGGUCAAAAUUGAUCUGGGGCCAAAACUGCAAAAGGGGCAAUACUUAGGGGGCGGUUU
Medicago truncatula (barrel medic) is the source of this 225-nucleotide microRNA precursor. It matches the Rfam family "MIR2619 microRNA precursor family". Lineage: Eukaryota; Viridiplantae; Streptophyta; Magnoliopsida; Fabales; Fabaceae. The record is from Rfam.